This 211-nucleotide long non-coding RNA is filed under the name Lathyrus oleraceus (garden pea). Its description in RNAcentral is "Pisum sativum (pea) long non-coding RNA (PSAT_LNC026305)". The record is from RNAcentral. Lineage: Eukaryota; Viridiplantae; Streptophyta; Magnoliopsida; Fabales; Fabaceae.
UUUUUCACUGUCCAUUUCCACCAUCUUCUGGGUCGUGUCUCUCAUCAAUCCCUCUGUGGUGGCAGCCGCACAACAAAUAUCAACAACAGGGAGAACUCCAUCCUGCAUCAGAGGUUUUGGGACCGCAGGCAUCAGACCCUUUAACUGAUCUUCCUCAGUCACCCCCAUUCCUCUCUUGACCUUUUUCACCAUCUUCAUCUUUACAGGACCC